GGGGGGGGGGUCUUAUUUACCAAAGGGAUUGAUGUUAACAAAAAAACAAAAAAACAAAAAAAACGACUGAGGAGUCCAUCAAGGUAGACACAGUUAUAUCUGUAAAAACUACCUUGAACGUUUGGAGAUGUCCACUGGCCUGGAUGCGUUAGGUCGCGGCGCCGCUUUGAGUCCAAGGACAAUUUCUCUUGCGUUUUAUCUACCACUGGAAAGGACAUAAAUGACUAGUUAGUACCAUAGACGGAAGCAGUGUUCGAAAGUCCAUCGAUAUGUAACGUACCAUUGUCUA
This 289-nucleotide long non-coding RNA is filed under the name Capsella rubella. Its description in RNAcentral is "long non-coding RNA (CRUB_LNC005034)". The record is from RNAcentral. Lineage: Eukaryota; Viridiplantae; Streptophyta; Magnoliopsida; Brassicales; Brassicaceae.